AUUUAAGUAGUUUAGUUAAAAUUCAAAGUUGUGAUCUUUGAGAAGUAUUGUCCUUAAAUU
Molecule: transfer RNA, 60 nt
Filed under: Olidiana obliquea
Lineage: Eukaryota; Metazoa; Arthropoda; Insecta; Hemiptera; Cicadellidae
Description: tRNA-His
Source: RNAcentral